RNAcentral lists this ribosomal RNA (254 nucleotides) under uncultured bacterium. Its description in RNAcentral is "partial 16S ribosomal RNA". It matches the Rfam family "Bacterial small subunit ribosomal RNA", at positions 524 to 776 of the family's 1533-position model. The record is from RNAcentral.
CACGUAGGGUGCGAGCGUUGUCCGGAAUUAUUGGGCGUAAAGAGCUCGUAGGCGGUGUGUCGCGUCGGCCGUGAAAACCUGGGGCUUAACUCUGGGCUUGCGGUCGAUACGGGCAUCACUGGAGUUCGGCAGGGGAGACUGGAAUUCCUGGUGUAGCGGUGAAAUGCGCAGAUAUCAGGAGGAACACUGGUGGCGAAGGCGGGUCUCUGGGCCGAUACUGACGCUGAGGAGCGAAAGCGUGGGGAGCGAACAGG